Molecule: non-coding RNA, 165 nt
Organism: Parambassis ranga (Indian glassy fish)
Lineage: Eukaryota; Metazoa; Chordata; Actinopteri; Ambassidae
Source: Ensembl
AUGCACCAGAUACGAGCCUGACAGCCUGUUUGUCCUGGAUGUGUUGCACAUUGGGAUUUUUCAAUGGCUGCAUGGCUUCAAAAGGUGCGAUAGCAGCAUUAGCCCUGAGUUUUAAGCUUUUCAGUGACAAGCAACACUGUUGAGUUAUGGCUCAGAGGUACAGCA